This 486-nucleotide ribosomal RNA is filed under the name uncultured bacterium. RNAcentral describes it as "bacterial SSU rRNA". It matches the Rfam family "Bacterial small subunit ribosomal RNA", at positions 30 to 529 of the family's 1533-position model. The record is from RNAcentral.
AUUGAACGCUGGCGGUAGGCCUAACACAUGCAAGUCGAACGCGAAAAGUCCUUCGGGAUGAGUAGAGUGGCGGACGGGUGAGUAACGCGUAGGAAUCUAUCCUGUAGUGGGGGAUAACGUUUCGAAAGGAACGCUAAUACCGCAUACGCCCCAAGGGGGAAAGCGGGGGAGUCGCAAGACCUCGCGCGAAUGGAGCGGCCGAUGUCAGAUUAGGUAGUUGGUGGGGUAAAGGCUCACCAAGCCAACGAUCUGUAGCUGGUCUGAGAGGACGACCAGCCACACUGGAACUGAGACACGGUCCAGACUCCUACGGGAGGCAGCAGUGGGGAAUUUUGGACAAUGGGCGCAAGCCUGAUCCAGCCAUUCCGCGUGAAGGAAGAAGGCCCUCGGGUUGUAAACUUCUUUGACAGGGACGAAUAAAUGACUGUACCCUGAAAACAAGCCACGGCUAACUACGUGCCAGCAGCCGCGGUAAGCAUACUCGUA